Molecule: transfer RNA, 91 nt
Filed under: Eubacteriales bacterium OttesenSCG-928-A19
Lineage: Bacteria; Bacillati; Bacillota; Clostridia; Eubacteriales
Description: tRNA-Ser
Rfam family: tRNA
About the family: Transfer RNA (tRNA) molecules are approximately 80 nucleotides in length. Their secondary structure includes four short double-helical elements and three loops (D, anti-codon, and T loops). Further hydrogen bonds mediate the characteristic L-shaped molecular structure. tRNAs have two regions of fundamental functional importance: the anti-codon, which is responsible for specific mRNA codon recognition, and the 3' end, to which the tRNAs corresponding amino acid is attached (by aminoacyl-tRNA synthetases). tRNAs cope with the degeneracy of the genetic code in two manners: having more than one tRNA (with a specific anti-codon) for a particular amino acid; and 'wobble' base-pairing, i.e. permitting non-standard base-pairing at the 3rd anti-codon position.
Source: RNAcentral
GGAGAGAUGGCUGAGUGGUCGAAGGCGCACGAUUGGAAAUCGUGUGUACGUUAAUAGCGUACCGUGGGUUCAAAUCCCACUCUCUCCGCCA